UCCCUGGUGGUCCAGUGGCUAGGACUCUACUCUUUCACUGUAGAGGCCUGGCUUCAAUCCCCGGUUGGGGAA
Lipotes vexillifer (Yangtze River dolphin) is the source of this 72-nucleotide non-coding RNA. NCBI's taxonomy places the organism in Eukaryota, Metazoa, Chordata, Mammalia, Artiodactyla, Lipotidae. The record is from the annotation of a RefSeq genome assembly.